GAUGUCUGAUUAGCUAGUUGGUGAGGUAAAGGCUUACCAAGGCUUCGAUCAGUAGCUGGUCUGAGAGGACGACCAGCCACACUGGGACUGAGACACGGCCCAGACUCCUACGGGAGGCAGCAGUGGGGAAUUUUGGACAAUGGGGGAAACCCUGAUCCAGCCAUGCCGCGUGAGUGAAGAAGGCCUUCGGGUUGUAAAGCUCUUUCAGCCGGAACGAAAAGGUUACGGUUAAUACCCGUGACUAAUGACGGUACCGGAAGAAGAAGCACCGGCUAACUACGUGCCAGCAGCCGCGGUAAUACGUAGGGUGUGAGCGUUAAUCGGAAUUACUGGGCGUAAAGCGUGCGCAGGCGGUUUUGUAAGUCAGAUGUGAAAUCCCCGGGCUCAACCUGGGAACU
RNAcentral lists this ribosomal RNA (398 nucleotides) under uncultured ammonia-oxidizing bacterium DGGE-PP-A. Its description in RNAcentral is "bacterial SSU rRNA". It matches the Rfam family "Bacterial small subunit ribosomal RNA", at positions 232 to 622 of the family's 1533-position model. The record is from RNAcentral. Lineage: Bacteria; Pseudomonadati; Pseudomonadota; Betaproteobacteria; Nitrosomonadales; Nitrosomonadaceae.